AAUAAGCAGGCAGAUCCUUAUAUCAAGCAUAUGACUGGAGCUUUUCAGAUUUAUUUUCUGGGAUUAUCUCUUUGUCCAGAUCAAUCCUCAUCAUUUCGUUCAUCUAAGGAGGUCAUUUGGAAAAAAGCUGAUGGAAGUACGCAGACAGGAUGUCUCAAAGACAGUGAGACAAGAAAAAAGAACAUAUCCUCACUUUUAUCUCGUGCCAGAUUCAUUAGGUCAUACCUGAGAAGGACAUCAAGGCUUUGGGGAGCUUUUAUGAGACACACUGGAGCAAUCAGGAGGGAAAUCCCUCAAGCUUUUCAGCAGUUACCUGAUGUAAGGCCAAAGCACAUGUGUCGAAAUGAACAAAAAUUUCCUAUGGAUCCACAGUGUGUGAUUUAGUUGACACUGUGACCAGAAUAACUUCAUGGGGACAUAAUUCAAGGGACUGAUUGUUUUUCAGAAAUGGAGAAAUCGGACUACAUACUAAAAAUGGAGAAAUCAGACGUAUGCACUUUAAACAGGUGGGCUGGGAGCAUUAAAUUAGGGUUUUUAAUCUCCAUGGAUUAAAGCAUUCAAGGAAAACGGUCCAAUCAGAUGACAUAUGGGUGGGAAGCGCAGGGUAACAAAUAGACAAUAUGCUAGAGUGCUGCAUUACAGCGUAUUACACCUAAAGCAUAAAUGUAAUUAAACCCUAUAGAGGGUGAACCUGUGCCGAUACUUCCUUUUGGCACAUCAGAGGUCAGCACAAGGUCAGACAGCUUUCUGUGAGCACACAUUCUGAUUUCUACCAAAUCCUGGCACUUUUUUAGUGAGAGUGCAUCAUCCAUAAAGGACCUUCACUGCCAGUUGGCAAACACAAGACAAGCAAAAUGCAAAUUGUGUCACUUGGACCUUGAAAUAUGUUGAGCUGUGACUUUUCAGUCAAUGUAAUCCAAAUAUCUGUUUUAGAAAGGGUUGAAAAUU
This is a long non-coding RNA of Onychostoma macrolepis, 948 nucleotides long. RefSeq lists it as uncharacterized. The transcript has 3 exons. Lineage: Eukaryota; Metazoa; Chordata; Actinopteri; Cypriniformes; Cyprinidae. The record is from RefSeq and is a predicted model, not a curated record.